Molecule: ribosomal RNA, 439 nt
Filed under: uncultured Clostridium sp.
Lineage: Bacteria; Bacillati; Bacillota; Clostridia; Eubacteriales; Clostridiaceae
Description: bacterial SSU rRNA
Rfam family: Bacterial small subunit ribosomal RNA
Source: RNAcentral
CCUACGGGAGGCAGCAGUGGGGAAUAUUGCACAAUGGGCGAAAGCCUGAUGCAGCAACGCCGCGUGAAGGAAGAAGGGUUUCGGCUCGUAAACUUCUAUCAACAGGGACGAAAAAAAUGACGGUACCUGAAUAAGAAGCCCCGGCUAACUACGUGCCAGCAGCCGCGGUAAUACGUAGGGGGCAAGCGUUAUCCGGAAUUACUGGGUGUAAAGGGAGAGUAGGCGGCAUGGUAAGUUAGAUGUGAAAGCCCGAGGCUUAACCUCGGGAUUGCAUUUAAAACUAUCAAGCUAGAGUACAGGAGAGGUAAGUGGAAUUCCUAGUGUAGCGGUGAAAUGCGUAGAUAUUAGGAAGAACACCAGUGGCGAAGGCGACUUACUGGACUGAAACUGACGCUGAGGCUCGAAAGCGUGGGGAGCGAACAGGAUUAGAUACCCCAGU